UGCUUUGUCAUUAACAAACUAAACCAGCCCAAUCCCGUCUGAUCUCAGAAGCUAGGAAGGGUCGGGCCUGGUUAGUACUUGGAUGGGAGACCACCUAGAAAGACCAGGUGCUAUAGGCG
Molecule: ribosomal RNA, 119 nt
Filed under: Pteropus alecto (black flying fox)
Lineage: Eukaryota; Metazoa; Chordata; Mammalia; Chiroptera; Pteropodidae
Source: RNAcentral